ACUCCUACGGGAGGCAGCAGUGGGGAAUAUUGCACAAUGGGGAAACCCUGAUGCAGCCAUGCCGCGUGUGUGAAGAAGGCCUUCGGUUGUAAAGACACUUCAGUAGGGAGGAAGGUAGUGUAGUUAACACCUGCAUUAUUUGACGUUACCUACAGAAGAAGCACCGGCUAACUCCGUGCCAGCAGCCGCGGUAAUACGGAGGGGUGCGAGCGUUAAUCGGAAUUACUGGGCGUAAAGCGCAUGCAGGCGGCCUGUUAAGUCAGAUGUGAAAGCCCGGGGGCUUAACCUCGGAAUUGCAUUUGAAACUGGCAGGCUAGAGUCUUGUAGAGGGGGUAGAAUUUCAGGUGUAGCGGUGAAAUGCGUAGAGAUCUGAAGGAAUACCAGUGGCGAAGGCGGCCCCCUGGACAAAGACUGACGCUCAGAUGCGAAAGCGUGGGGAGCGAAACAGGAUUAGAUACCCUGGUAGGAUAGCG
RNAcentral lists this ribosomal RNA (473 nucleotides) under uncultured bacterium. RNAcentral describes it as "bacterial SSU rRNA". It matches the Rfam family "Bacterial small subunit ribosomal RNA", at positions 335 to 799 of the family's 1533-position model. The record is from RNAcentral.